RNAcentral lists this long non-coding RNA (2866 nucleotides) under Podarcis lilfordi (Lilford's wall lizard). The record is from RNAcentral. Lineage: Eukaryota; Metazoa; Chordata; Lepidosauria; Squamata; Lacertidae.
CAGCCACACACCCCAGUCUCCCCUGCAUGAAGCCAGGAUACCCCCUCACUCAGACACCCCAGUCUGCCUUGCAUGAAGCUAGGACACCCCCUCAAUCAGAGUGGAUGGGAAAACCCAACGUAAAACCAUUUCUGCGGGCAAAAAAAAAUAAAUCAAUGGGGGGGUGACAACAAAUUUUCUGCACCGGGUACCACCUGACCUUCCUACGCCUCUGAGCUUGCGAUGUAAUUGCCUCUCACAUUCAGAAGCUGGUUAUCAAGUGCAGACCAACCAAGUGAUGCACAUGCACACAUAACUGAGCCAUAGGUCAAAACCAGCUUUAACAGCAUGAUUUCAAGACUCAGGAUCACUUUCCAGGGUCUGAAAACACAUGCCAUCGCGACAAGAGAUGUUGACAUGCACAAACGUCAAGAGAUAGAUGUAUGUAUUGCCAUACAGGCAAUAAGAGGAGCCUUGUGUGUUAUGUAUGGGUUGUAGGGAACGAAAUACCCCAAUUCUUCUCCCUUGCGCCAUAGUUGUCUCUCCAUUCGGCUCUGACAGCUACGCCAGCCAGCUGCCACCAUUGUGUUUCACAAGUGUCACUGCUGGUGCAAAGCGUCCCCUUCUGUUCACUAGAUGGGCAAAGUGCUGUUGGCAGGACGCCCAGCAACAGCAGUCAGCAGAAAGCCCCCAAAUGGAGGGAAGGCCAACCUGGUCCCUUGCGUGUCAUGUGAUAGCACCAGGCCUGAUGUGAGCCCAAUUGCUGCACCCAACUGGUACAGAGAUUACCCUGACUGCCCUCCUUCCAGAAAACCCUGUCAGGUGGCUGCCUUGGGUUUGGCUUGCCGCCUCAGUAUGCAAAGGAGUCUUCUGCCACAAGCAAAGUGCAGUCAUGCUAAUGAGUCGCAUUUAAGUGACUCUAAUACCUGUGUUCAAAAUUACUGUUGGAAUGAAUAGCACCUAGUAUUUAUAAAGAACUUGUCAGAGCUGCAAAGCAUUUUGCAUGCAUUAUAUUUAUAAUCCUUAAAACAGUCCAGUAAGUUGAGCUUAUAAAUCAUGUAGAGAUUUUAUUACAACCAAGCAGUAUAUAAUUUUUGUUAAAUAAAAUUAUUUCCCUUGUACUUUUGAGGGGCUUAGUUCUUGCAAUAAAAGCUAAUCUGUUACAUGUAUUUGAGAUUCUCGAGGGCAUUGAACUAUUUUUAAAGAGCCUUGUUGCAGAUUUGAGCCAUAUAAUUUCGUUUUAUAUACCGUAUUUUUCGCCCUAUAGGACGCACCGUCCCAUAGGACGCACCAAGUUUUUUGGGGGGGAAAUAAAGAAAAAAAAUUAUCCCCCCCAGCUGCGGGAACUCCCGCAGGGCUCCCUAGGCUGCGGAUAUCUGCCCAAAGCGUGGGGCGCUCUGCUUCAGCGUGCCCCGCUCUCCGGGCAAGCAGGCUGCUCUCUGCAGCCUAGGGAGCCCUGCGGGAACUCCCGCGGGCUCCCCAGGCUUGCUGAUAGCUUCCUGAAGCCUGGAGAGCGAGAGGGGUUGGUGCACACCAACCCCUCUCGCUCUCCAGGCUUCAGCGAAAGCCUGCAUUCGUACCAUAGGACGCACACACAUUUCCCCUUCAUUUUUGGAGGGGAAAAAGUGCGUCCUAUAGGGCGAAAAAUACAGUAUAUUAGGGAUGGGCCAGUUUAUGGUCAAACUACGAAACUUUCUCCCCCAGGAGGCAGUGAUGGUCUCCAACUUGGUUGGCUUUAAAAGAGGAUUAGACAAAUUCAUGGGGGAGGAGAUGGGUACUAGCCGUUAUGACUAUUGCUCUCCCUCCACUGUGGGAGGCAGCACUGCUUCCAAAAACUGGAAACCACAGGAGGGGGGGAUGCUUGAAACAGCUAGGAAGCCUGCUCCCCAUCACGUGCAGUUUCAAAAUAUCCUUGGGAGUGCAGGGAUGGGGUGUGCCAAUGUGCCAUGCAGCCCAGAGGCACUGCAUUGGCAAAAAAUGGCCGCCCUCGUUUUAAAAGACAGCCUGCGGACCACCCAAUAGCCCUGUUUGGAAUGAUUUGUCUAUCGGAGCAGCGAUUGGUUGAUUUUAGCAUUCAUCUUUUCAGGUGAAAUACAGUUGCUCCGGCAAAUUCCAGAAGCUUCUGUACAGCUCCUGAAGGAAUUAACAGAACCACCACUAUAUGAAGAUUUCAAAGCCAUUCUGGAUUGAUAGAUGUGGUCCUAUUGUAGGUAAAGUGUUUUAUUUUUCCUUUAAAAAAGAAAAAGAAAUAAAUAGCUAAGUCAACCUCCUGUAUCCCAAAGCAGGAAAAAUGUAGUAAUUUGGUGCCUGAAAGCACGCUUAGUGCCAUGAAUAAAGGUAAAGGGACCCCUGACCAUUAGGUCCAGUCGUGGCCGACUCUGGGGUUGUGGCGCUCAUCUCGCUUUAUUGGCUGAGGGAGCCAGCAUACAGCUUCCGGGUCAUGUGGCCAGCAUGACCAAGCCGCUUCUGGAGAACCAGAGCAGCGAACGGAAACGCCGUUUACCUUCCCGCCAGAUACCUAUUUAUCUAUUUGCACUUUGACGUGCUUUCGAACUGCUAGGUUGGCAAGAGCAGGGACCGAGCAAUGGGAGCUCACCCUGUCACGGGGAUUUGAACCGCUGACCUUCUGAUUGGCAAGUCCUAGGCUCUGUGGUUUAACCCACAGCUCCACCCGAGUCCCAGUGCCAUGAAUACAUGAGCUCAAAGUGACGUUUUCAAAGUAUUUUAUCAGCAAAGUAAGUAAUGGGAUAUGCUCCAUUUUUAUUUCUAUUUUUUACUGUGUAAAAAAUUCACCUACCCUAGAAUUGUCAAGGGGAAUUAUAUUUUUCUGUAAUCCAACAAUGGUGAGAUGCCUAUUCUGGUAUCUUGCCUACAAAAUGAUCUAGGG